This 508-nucleotide long non-coding RNA is filed under the name Mytilus galloprovincialis (Mediterranean mussel). Lineage: Eukaryota; Metazoa; Mollusca; Bivalvia; Mytilida; Mytilidae. The record is from RNAcentral.
AGUUAGAAGUGGCAGGAAAAUUUUGGAACUAAAAAUUAUACCCACCAUCCCUCCCUGGAUAGCUAAUUCGGAUUUUGUCAUUAUGUUUGAACCAAUUUAAAUUGAAAUAUUUUAAUUUUGUUUAAUAAUGAAUAUUGUGUAUUCAUGUUUUAUUUGGUUAAACAAUAUGUCAGUGUUUAUAUUCGAAUGUAACACCAUCUCUGAUGGGCGAAUGUAACCCCAUCUUUGAUGGGAUGGGUCAAUAAGGUUUUGUCAUUAUAACCAUAUAAUAUGUUGUUUAUAAAUAAGAUUUAUUGAUUUCAUUAUACAUGUUUUUCAUUGUGUUGCUUCUUCGUCAUUUUAAUAAUAAAUGACAGUUUUCAAUUCUUAAAUAUUUGUUUGUUUGUCAUUCUUUCAUCCCAUCAAACAGAGCAAGCCUAUGUUGACAAAAAUGAUCCUUAGUGUAAUAUCACUUUAGUGAGUUUCAUAAUUAAACAAAAUAUACAAACGCACAAAAAAAUUCUAUAAC